RNAcentral lists this ribosomal RNA (774 nucleotides) under Triticum aestivum (bread wheat). RNAcentral describes it as "partial small subunit ribosomal RNA". Lineage: Eukaryota; Viridiplantae; Streptophyta; Magnoliopsida; Poales; Poaceae. The record is from RNAcentral.
AUGUUGGACGCGCCCAACCUCACCAGAGAAAAGCCCCGCUGCCGGAGGGAGGCCAUGCUGGAUGGAGGCCACGCCGGAGUGAGGAGGCGCCGGAAGGAGGAGGUCGCGCUCGCGCUGCUUGCCAGAGUGAGGAGGCACCGGAGGGAGGAGCCCGCACCGCGCGGCCCCACUGCUCGGCGGAGUGAGGAGGCCGUGCCGCUCACCGGCCCGCGCCGCGCUGCCCGCGCUGCUCGUCGGUGUGAGGAGGCGAUGGAGGGAGGAACCCACGCCACUCGCGCUGCUCGCCGGAGUGAGAAAGCCAUGCUGCUCGCCGGAGUGAGGAAGCCGUCAUGCCGCCCGCGUUGCUCACACAGUCUGCGCCGUGCUACUCGCCUGAGAGAGGAGGCGCUGGAGGUAGGAGACGCCAAAGGGAGGAGGUCGCGCGAGGCCUCCUACGUGGGGCGCUGGGGAACGGGCGGCGGCGCGAGGCCUCUGGCGUGGGGCGUUGGGAAACGGGCGGCGCCGCGAGGCAGGAGGCCGCCGGCGGCUUCCAUGGCGGGGAUGGGGGAUGGGGCCGGCUCAAUGGAGGAGAGAGGAUUGGGCCGGCUCGACGGGGAUGGGGGACGGGGCCGACUCGAGGGAGGAGAGAGGACGGGGCAGUUGGAGGGGAGCAUGGCUGGGUGUAGGGUGGCCGGCGGCGACCAUGGCGGGGCUACUGGUGAGUUAUGUGAGAGAGAGAUGCGUGAGACAGAGAACGUGGGGAUAAGGGAGAGAGAACAUGGUGGGGUCGGCUGA